Molecule: ribosomal RNA, 460 nt
Filed under: uncultured bacterium
Lineage: Bacteria
Description: partial 16S ribosomal RNA
Rfam family: Bacterial small subunit ribosomal RNA
Source: RNAcentral
CCUACGGGGUGCAGCAGUGAGGAAUAUUGGUCAAUGGGCGGAAGCCUGAACCAGCCAAGUCGCGUGAGGGAUUAAGGCCCUGCGGGUCGUAAACCUCUUCUGCCGGGGAGCAGUGGUUCGGACGUGUCCGGGCCGGGAGAGUACCCGGAGAAAAAGCAUCGGCUAACUCCGUGCCAGCAGCCGCGGUAAUACGGAGGUUGCGAGCGUUAUCCGGAUUUAUUGGGUUUAAAGGGUGCGUAGGCGGGCAGUUAAGCCGCCGGUCAAAGGUCGGGGCUCAACCCCGGCCUGCCGUCGAAACUGGGUGCCUUGAGUGGGCGAGAAGUAUGCGGAAUGCGUGGUGUAGCGGUGAAAUGCAUAGAUAUCACGCAGAACCCCGAUUGCGAAGGCAGCAUACCGGCGCCCUACUGACGCUGAGGCACGAAAGUGCGGGUAUCGAACAGGAUUAGAUACCCUAGUAGUC